RNAcentral lists this unclassified non-coding RNA (2041 nucleotides) under Venturia canescens. RNAcentral describes it as "uncharacterized LOC122408779, transcript variant X2". Lineage: Eukaryota; Metazoa; Arthropoda; Insecta; Hymenoptera; Ichneumonidae. The record is from RNAcentral.
AUCGAGUCUGAUAUGAAAUAGCAGUAUUUCAUUAACGGUCCAAAGAUGUAGCCGGCUGCGUCGUGUUUUUUCUCCUCGCGAAUCUGUGUCUUGAAUUCACCCGGUGACCGGUGCGACCCUGAUAUGAAAAGAAUAGUGUCGAGAUUUGUGUUGGCAUUUCUCGUUGUUCGCCCAUCGAUUCGACUAGUCACAAGCUUCCUGCAGAAAGCUCAUCGGGCUAUUUCACUCCCUCAUGGAAAAAUGUACUCGGACGAGAAUUCUUAUCUCCUCGGGAAGUCUGGUUCGGGAACUGUUUAUGUCAACAUUUCCGAUUCAGAUGUCAAAAAAUAUCGAGCGUUGAGCCACGAGGAGUACCAGUAUUAUGAAGCGAGACCACUUUGGAUUAAAAUAAGAUUGUGUCUCUUCUGGUUAUUCUGGGCUGCUUUUUUCACGGUCAUCAUUAUCUUCGUACUUAUCUACUGGUGCAUCGCGCCAAAUUUUUGCCCGAAUAACGUCGUUUAUUCCGUUUGAAGCUUUUCACCGUUACAAAUUAUCCGAGAAAUGCAUUUUCAAUAAUGAUACGAUAACGCGGUAUUGUUUUUGUCGAGAACAAACGGAUCUCUGGAAUGUUCGUUGUAAUCUCGUCGACUCGUCGUAGCAGACUAAAGAGCGCGAGCGAGUGUGUAUGUGCGUGCGGGAGAGCGAGAGAGAGAGAGAGAGAGAAGCAAACAAAGCGAAAAACAACAAACACAUAUCUCUGUGAUAAAUCGGUGAAGUCGAGAAGCGCUUUUGCAAGCUGCUCGUACCAAACAUUUUCGUAUAUAUUCAGCGAAAAAAUUUUUCCCUCAGAUAUAUUACCACUACAUUUGAUAACUUUUAUUGACAUAAAAAAAUGGUUUUCUCAUUAAAAUGACAAGCAUAGUUGAAGAAACGUAUCUUUGCACGAGCAACGCAACGGAAUACUGUAAUAUCAUUGUUACUGUUGCCAUUAUUAUGUUAUUAUUGAUAUAUUUAAGAGCAUGGAUGAGUCGGUGCAUCGCAGUGGUGAGUGCGAGAGAGAUAGCUGCAAAUUUUGAAAGUGAAAUUUUCCCAUACCGUUUGCCCGAUCGAAAUAAUAAAUAAAAUGUCCGUUUUCGCCAUCGUCCUGCGUGGGCUGACAGAGCCUUUUUUCAAUCGGUCAAACCGUGUCAAAGGAUUUCGAUAUCGAAAAUUCCAAGUGAGGUUAGGUGACUGAUCCCGACUGGCCGUAUAGGGCAAAAAAACAAAAAAAAACGGGAGUUAUGCGUUUCACGGCGAGCACGGCGAUCAGUGGGUGGGGGGAAUUCCUUUGUCGCCAGUUUUUUCAGAAACGAUGUAUGAUAAUUGUCUUGACCAAUUUUUGAAAUCGCUCGAAUCAGUCUUCAGCUUCCCAAAUGUCCGUAGGCAUAUUGAACGACUAUUUUGAGCUCAUUGUUGUAUUGAAGUUAGGUUAAGUACGGCGAGGAUUUGGGAAGAGGGGCUUAUUAUAACCUUUUUUUUUUAUAGACACAUAGUGAUACUCUUAUGAAGAAUCACGAGCUUCCGUACAAGCUCAAUAGAAGAUGAGAACAGUUGACGAAAGCCAUAGUCGCGACAAUAGUCUCGAUCCAGCUCAGCGGUCCUACAAUAAUUCGUGGAACCGUAACUCGCAGAGUUGAAAUAUCAUUACGCGUGCAUCCAUGUUCAUUAAAAAAUUAUAUAGUGAUCAUCGUUAUACUAAUUUUUCUUAUGGAAUAAUUAUUGACGUAGGCUAUUGUAAUGUUUCCGAAAUAACAACAGUUCCCGUCGUAUUAUUGGUGACACCAUUUAUUAAUCGGAACAACGUUCUAUCAAAAAUUGAAAUGUAGUCGUUGUUGAGCCACGUGUUUAUUCGUUGGAGGUCGGAGCGAAGAUGACCACUUGGUGCCUAGUGUCGCCCGCUGUUUUUAGUUUCAGAGGGCGCUGACAACAGUUUUCCGAAGUUUGAAUCCUACAUUACAGCUAUUUUCAAAAAAUCCAUCUGAAUGUACGAUUUUUAUAAAUAUAUCAAAAAUCAGAAAACUUC